AGAGUUUGAUCAUGGCUCAGGAUGAACGCUAGCUACAGGCUUAACACAUGCAAGUCGAGGGGCAGCAUUGGAGUAGCAAUACUCAGAUGGCGACCGGCGCACGGGUGAGUAACACGUAUCCAACCUGCCGCUUACUCGGGGAUAGCCUUUCGAAAGAAAGAUUAAUACCCGAUGGUAUAAAGAGUUCGCAUGUUCUCUUUAUUAAAGAAUUUCGGUAAGCGAUGGGGAUGCGUUCCAUUAGAUUGUUGGCGGGGUAACGGCCCACCAAGUCUACGAUGGAUAGGGGUUCUGAGAGGAAGGUCCCCCACAUUGGAACUGAGACACGGUCCAAACUCCUACGGGAGGCAGCAGUGAGGAAUAUUGGUCAAUGGACGAGAGUCUGAACCAGCCAAAGUAGCGUGAAGGAUGACUGCCCUAUGGGUUGUAAACUUCUUUUAUAAGGGAAUAAAGUGAGGGACGUGUCCCUUUUUGUAUGUACCUUAUGAAUAAGGAUCGGCUAACUCCGUGCCAGCCGCAGC
RNAcentral lists this ribosomal RNA (518 nucleotides) under uncultured bacterium. Its description in RNAcentral is "bacterial SSU rRNA". It matches the Rfam family "Bacterial small subunit ribosomal RNA", at positions 8 to 518 of the family's 1533-position model. The record is from RNAcentral.